Molecule: non-coding RNA, 942 nt
Organism: Paramuricea clavata
Lineage: Eukaryota; Metazoa; Cnidaria; Anthozoa; Malacalcyonacea; Plexauridae
Source: the annotation of a GenBank genome assembly
GCUUCUGGAGACCACAACACAAGGAAAAUCAUUUUUACGAUAAAGAUCUGUCAUUUAGUCAUUUGGACUUGUUGAGGGACGUUGAAUUUUGUUGUAAGAUAUUUGAAAUGUCACUUCAACUUUGUUUUAUUUGGAUGUGCAUCUAGAUUUAUGCACCAUCUUGACUUUACAUGAGCGUAGGGGCAGGCCCCAUGAACAAGUAAGCAAAAUUUUCAUGCCUUCGUACCUUGUCCACUCGGGUCUCGAGAAGGGUGCCCUGGGUCUCGAGAAGGGUGCCCUGGGUCUCGAGAAGGGUGUCCUAGGUCUCAAGAAAAGCGCCCCGGGUUGGCAAGGUGUGAAAGGGUUGACCUGGUUGGCUAUCAACUCAGGGUAAGCCAGAUCAACCCGUCUCUCAGUGUUCACACGAUAGCCGGGUCAACCCUUCAAUAGGCUUCUGUAAAGGCCACCUAAUUAAGGGCUAUUCAUACAACCCAGGGUUAGCCGGCCGAGAUAAAUCGUGUCAAAUUUUUUUCCUGAAUUAUAUUCUGCUACUAGAAUCACACUAAGCUAAUUCAUUUUGGAUAUUUAUCAAGGCCUUAUUAAACAAAUCAUCCCGGUUAACUAUGGGCGAACCAGGCUCCACAUUAACAGCCCCUUAAACUCAUCAGAACCUAGGAUAACGUUCCUUCCUUGGCAAUGAACAUGCUCAAAAACUCGCUUCAAUUAAUAUAUUGGGACAUGCUCUUGUACUUUGCAUGUAUGAUGCAUCUAAAAUGCCCCACAAUUCUAAAAGUUCAUGUGAUAAUGAACAAACCAAUCUAGCAAUGUGGCUUCUGAUUGCCAUUAGUAGGUAUAUGUGAAUUUGAGUGAGGCUUGGAAGGACCUACAGUGAACUGGCCACUGAUAUAAUUAUAGUAGGCUAAUAUUUUUAAAAAAGCUUCGGAUUGAUGGGGUUACAACUAC